AGUGAACGCUGGCGGUAGGCCUAACACAUGCAAGUCGAACGGCAGCACAGUAAGAGCUUGCUCUUAUGGGUGGCGAGUGGCGGACGGGUGAGGAAUACAUCGGAAUCUACUUUUUCGUGGGGGAUAACGUAGGGAAACUUACGCUAAUACCGCAUACGACCUACGGGUGAAAGCAGGGGAUCUUCGGACCUUGCGCGAUUGAAUGAGCCGAUGUCGGAUUAGCUAGUUGGCGGGGUAAAGGCCCACCAAGGCGACGAUCCGUAGCUAGUCUGAGAGGAUGAUCAGCGACACUGGAACUGAGACACGGUCCAGACUCCUACGGGAGGCAGCAGUGGGGAAUAUUGGACAAUGGGCGCAAGCCUGAUCCAGCCAUACCGCGUGGGUGAAGAAGGCCUUCGGGUUGUAAAGCCCUUUUGUUGGGAAAGAAAAGCAGCAGGUUAAUACCCCGCUGUUCUGACGGUACCCAAAGAAUAAGCACCGGCUAACUUCGUG
This 492-nucleotide ribosomal RNA is filed under the name uncultured bacterium. RNAcentral describes it as "partial 16S ribosomal RNA". It matches the Rfam family "Bacterial small subunit ribosomal RNA", at positions 29 to 507 of the family's 1533-position model. The record is from RNAcentral.